AGACAGUAAGACAACACUGUUUGGAUCAACAUCACUGUGUUGGUCUUCAUUUUGAAACUUUACUUUGCAGAGAGAAAUGUUUCAGAGAACUUCUUGGCGCAAAUCCAACUGAGUCUUGUGGCUUUUCUGGCUUGUCCUGGUCUGCUGAAUCGUGUUGCUGUUUGGUGUUGGCCUUUGGACUGGACUGCUGGUAUCUGGGCAAUGAAGAGUGGACUCAUCCGAAGGAACUACUUCUAAAAAGAAAACUGAAGCCAACCUAGAACAGCACCUACAUAAAUCAAACGAGACUGCUCUUCCCACACAGUUCUGCAAGGGGCUGGCUAACGGGCAGUCAUCAGCUAGCCUGAAGGACUUCGGGUGCUCCAGCUGCUGCACCUGCAGAGCUCAAAGGCUCUGUUACCUUGGCUCUCUCUGAACCCAAGGCUGGAGCCAGGAGGAGAACAUUUUUCCCUGCCUGUGACUUCUGAGGAUGGCCCUGCUCCUGCUCUGUUCUCUGCUCCCCUGCUGGGAAGAUUUCAGUUUGGGCGAGGAGCUGUUACAGACAGUGCUUGGAGCUACUCUAAGACAGAAGAGCUGGUCGUGUUUCUGUGAAGCAAGCUGUGAUUCUGGGGUAUGAUUGUAGGGUGGAGGACAGACUUGAGAUGCCCAAAUAAUGCUGUGUCGUCUGUCUGGUCCCCGUAGGAAUAGAGACUACUUUUCCUACGACCGAAGAAAACAGCCUCUGUGCAGCCCGAGGAAGCCUGGCAGCUUGGAGGGCAGAGGCCUGAGAUGCAGCAACCUUCACUUUGCAGGGACCUGGUGGAGAGUCGCAAGUGGGCGUUUGUGUGCCCCGUUUAAGAUGAAUGAACUAAAUGCAGCUAGUGCAAAACUGAAACUGAAGUGUCAUCAUGGAGGGAGUAAAGCCAAAGGUGCCUACCGCCUUUUCAAGGUUUCCUCUGGACUUCUAGAAGUGCAAAUUAGACUAAAUUCAUACCCUGUGUACUGAACCAUGACCCAGUUGUUUUCCUUUGAGUCCAAAUUUUCUUCUAAAUGGAAGAAUACUAUUUGCUUUGAUAUAAAGCCUAUAUAUAUUAUCUCCAAGUAGAAUUUGGCUCUAAGCCAGGCAUGGCAGCCUGUUGUAAUCCCAGCACUCUGGAACCUGACAAAGAACAAUUAUCAGAUGUUUGAAAGCAGCUUGGUCUACCUACUGAGAAUCAGGCUCUCGGCUCCUUCAAUAGAUGCUUGGGACACUUGCCAGCUCUUGGAUUUGUACAGAUUUUACUUCACAUGCAAUCUGUGGCUUCUAUUCUCUUCCCUCAGCGAGAGGCACCUAAGAGGGGGUGGCAGGUGGCAUUAGUGCCCUCAGCCCACUGGCAGGGUAAGGUGAAAAGGAGGAGGGCUUUGGAGCAGAGCCAUAGAUGUCAGCCCACUGUCCAGACUCUUAGGUGUCAUGGGGAAGGACCAUGGUUCAGAGGGGACCCAGCUAUUUAACGGAGCUAGCAGAAUUCCCUUUUCUGGAGGGAAAGACAUUCAGCAAGCAUUAAGUGCCUAUACCAGGGAGAGCUCUUGACGCAGAGAAGGCAUUUGCUGACUCAAUGUUCAACAGAUCAGGCGCUCCCCUGCCUCAGAACCAACUGCUGCUUUCAGAUCCCACAGAGUGGAUCAUGGCUGGGGCAGAAUCCAUGACAUCUGCCACUCGGCUUCUCACAGAAGGCACAGUAGGUGGGAACGAAUUAUGACUGUAACCACCAGCACCUUUUGUCACAAUGGAGGCUCCAGAGACUCUUCCACCCCAAUGGAGUUGCUGUUCCCAGACAUUCCCUCCUGAGGGAAACAUGGUACAGAUAGGCCAUUCACCCACUCCAUUUUUGCA
This is a long non-coding RNA of Meriones unguiculatus (Mongolian gerbil), 1852 nucleotides long. RefSeq lists it as uncharacterized. The record is from RefSeq and is a predicted model, not a curated record. NCBI's taxonomy places the organism in Eukaryota, Metazoa, Chordata, Mammalia, Rodentia, Muridae. The transcript has 7 exons.